CGCGUAGGCGGUGGGUUACGUCUGCCGUGAAAUCCCCGGGCUCAACCUGGGAAUGGCGGUGGAAACGGGCUGACUAGGGUAUGGGAGAGGGUGAUGGAAUUCCAGGUGUAGCGGUGAAAUGCGUAGAGAUCUGGAGGAACAUCAGUGGCGAAGGCGGUCACCUGGCCCAAUACUGACGCUGAGGCGCGAAAGCGUGGGGAGCAAACA
RNAcentral lists this ribosomal RNA (207 nucleotides) under uncultured Acidithiobacillus sp. RNAcentral describes it as "partial 16S ribosomal RNA". It matches the Rfam family "Bacterial small subunit ribosomal RNA", at positions 568 to 774 of the family's 1533-position model. The record is from RNAcentral. Lineage: Bacteria; Pseudomonadati; Pseudomonadota; Acidithiobacillia; Acidithiobacillales; Acidithiobacillaceae.